AUUGAACGCUGGCGGCAGGCCUAACACAUGCAAGUCGAGCGGAUGAAGGGAGCUUGCUCCUGGAUUCAGCGGCGGACGGGUGAGUAAUGCCUAGGAAUCUGCCUGGUAGUGGGGGAUAACGUCCGGAAACGGGCGCUAAUACCGCAUACGUCCUGAGGGAGAAAGUGGGGGAUCUUCGGACCUCACGCUAUCAGAUGAGCCUAGGUGGGAUUAGCUAGUUGGUGGGGUAAAGGCCUACCAAGGCGACGAUCCGUAACUGGUCUGAGAGGAUGAUCAGUCACACUGGAACUGAGACACGGUCCAGACGCCUACGGGAGGCAGCAGUGGGGAAUAUUGGACGAUGGGCGAAAGCCUGAUCCAGCCAUGCCGCGUGUGUGAAGAAGGUCUUCGGAUUGUAAAGCACUUUAAGUUGGGAGGAAGGGCAGUAAGUUAAUACCUUGCUGUUUUGACGUUACCAACAGAAUAAGCACCGGCUAACUUCGUG
Molecule: ribosomal RNA, 484 nt
Filed under: uncultured bacterium
Lineage: Bacteria
Description: partial 16S ribosomal RNA
Rfam family: Bacterial small subunit ribosomal RNA
Source: RNAcentral